RNAcentral lists this ribosomal RNA (502 nucleotides) under uncultured bacterium. RNAcentral describes it as "bacterial SSU rRNA". It matches the Rfam family "Bacterial small subunit ribosomal RNA", at positions 24 to 518 of the family's 1533-position model. The record is from RNAcentral.
UCAGGAUGAACGCUAGCGUACAGGCUUAACACAUGCAAGUCGAGGGGCAUCAUGGAGUUGCUGCAAACUCUGAUGGCGACCGGCGCACGGGUGAGUAACGCGUAUCCAACUCCCUAUAGUAGAGGAUAGCCCGGCGAAAGUCGGAUUAAUACUCUAUGUUUUCCGUUGCAGACAUCUAAGAUGGAACAAAGGCUUGCCGCUAUAGGAUGGGGAUGCGUCUGAUUAGGUAGUCGGCGGGGUAACGGCCCACCGAGCCAUCGAUCAGUAGGGGUUCUGAGAGGAAGGUCCCCCACAUUGGAACUGAGACACGGUCCAAACUCCUACGGGAGGCAGCAGUGAGGAAUAUUGGUCAAUGGGCGAGAGCCUGAACCAGCCAAGUAGCGUGCAGGACGACGGCCCUAUGGGUUGUAAACUGCUUUUAUGCGGAGAUAAAGUUCACUACGUGUAGUGUUUUGUAGGUACCGCAUGAAUAAGGACCGGCUAAUUCCGUGCCAGCCGCCGC